GAUGAACGCUGGCGGCGUGCCUAAUACAUGCAAGUCGAGCGAAAAGACGAGGAGUUUGCUCCUCUGACGUUAGCGGCGGACGGGUGUGUAACACGUGGAUAACCUACCUAUAAGUCUGGGAUAAUUUCGGGAAACCGGAGCUAAUACCGGAUAAUAUAUUGAACCGCAUGGUUCACUAGUGAAUGACGGUUUUGCUGUCACUUAUAGAUGGAUCCGCGCUGCAUUAGCUAGUUGGUAAGGUAACGGCUUACCAAGGCGACGAUGCGUAGCCGACCUGAGAGGGUGAUCGGCCACACUGGAACUGAGACACGGUCCAGACUCCUACGGGAGGCAGCAGUAGGGAAUCUUCCGCAAUGGGCGGAAGCCUGACGGAGCAACGGCGCGUGAGUGAUGAAGGUCUUCGGAUUGUAAAACUCUGUUAUUGGGGAAGAACAAAUGUGUAAGUAACUAUGCACGUCUUGACGGUACCUAAUCAGAAAGCCACGGCUAACUACGUG
This 497-nucleotide ribosomal RNA is filed under the name uncultured bacterium. RNAcentral describes it as "partial 16S ribosomal RNA". It matches the Rfam family "Bacterial small subunit ribosomal RNA", at positions 28 to 507 of the family's 1533-position model. The record is from RNAcentral.